This 418-nucleotide ribosomal RNA is filed under the name uncultured bacterium. Its description in RNAcentral is "bacterial SSU rRNA". It matches the Rfam family "Bacterial small subunit ribosomal RNA", at positions 357 to 774 of the family's 1533-position model. The record is from RNAcentral.
AGGAAUAUUGCUCAAUGGGAGAAAUCCUGAAGCAGCAACGCCGCGUGGAGGAUGAAGGGUCUAUGACUUGUAAACUCCUGUAAAGAAGGAAAAAAUUCCCAUUUGAUGGGAGAUGAUGGUACUUCUGGAGUAAGCCCCGGCUAACUACGUGCCAGCAGCCGCGGUAAUACGUAGGGGGCAAGCGUUGUCCGGAUUUACUGGGUGUAAAGGGUGCUCAGGCGGAUUUGCAAGUCAGAGGUGAAAUCUUACAGCUUAACUGUGAAACUGCCUUUGAUACUGCAAGCCUAGAGUAUGGAAGAGAGUGAUGGAAUAUCUGGUGUAGCAGUGAAAUGCGUAGAUAUCAGAUAGAACACCAAUGGCGAAGGCAGUCACUUGGUCCAUUACUGACGCUAAAGCACGAAAGCGUGGGUAGCAAACA